RNAcentral lists this ribosomal RNA (525 nucleotides) under uncultured bacterium. RNAcentral's name for it is "bacterial SSU rRNA". It matches the Rfam family "Bacterial small subunit ribosomal RNA", at positions 355 to 896 of the family's 1533-position model. The record is from RNAcentral.
UGGGGAAUUUUGCGCAAUGGGGGAAACCCUGACGCAGCAACGCCGCGUGGAGGAUGAAGUCCUUCGGGACGUAAACUCCUUUCGAUCGGGACGAUUAUGACGGUACCGGAAGAAGAAGCCCCGGCUAACUUCGUGCCAGCAGCCGCGGUAAUACGAGGGGGGCGAGCGUUGUUCGGAAUUAUUGGGCGUAAAGGGUGCGUAGGCGGUUUGGUAAGUCUGAUGUGAAAUCUAUGGGCUCAACUCAUAGUCUGCAUCGGAAACUGCCGGGCUUGAGUAUGGGAGAGGUGAGUGGAAUUCCUGGUGUAGCGGUGAAAUGCGUAGAUAUCAGGAGGAACACCUGUGGCGAAAGCGGCUCACUGGACCAUAACUGACGCUGAUGCACGAAAGCUAGGGGAGCAAACAGGAUUAGAUACCCUGGUAGUCCUAGCCCUAAACGAUGACUGCUUGGUGUGACGGGUACCCAAUCCCGCCGUGCCGUAGCUAACGCGUUAAGCAGUCCGCCUGGGGAGUACGGUCGCAAGGCUG